RNAcentral lists this transfer RNA (65 nucleotides) under Thysanoessa raschii. Its description in RNAcentral is "tRNA-Cys". Lineage: Eukaryota; Metazoa; Arthropoda; Malacostraca; Euphausiacea; Euphausiidae. The record is from RNAcentral.
GGCUUUGUAGUGGAAAAUAAGAUGUUGGACUGCAAAUCUAAAGAUGCACAUUGUUGCCAAAGCUU